UUGGUUACCUGCGGCCAAACGUCGCCGCCCUAGGUACAGAAAGAGGGAGCCGACCAUAGAAAAGGGAACUCCAGUGGGGUUACGCCGACUGUGUUGGCGCGUCAACCGUGAAGCUCAUGCUGACUAUCGUUUAUCUGAUUACAAGGCGGUGGUGGUGCAAUUGAGACCUUACAGUCGGCGGCUAGGGUUAAUGACUCGAAGGUGAUGAAGGAGACGAUGUAGAUUAAGUUUCAGGCGAUCAAUGGUGUCAAAUGAUGGUCGUUCAGAACAAAUGGACGGUCGGCGGUGACGGUCAAAACAAGGGAACACGUUCUCGUCACCUAUAGUUUAGGGUUUUGAACGUACCGACGAUUAGGAAGGAGAUAUGUUUGGGUGCAUAUUAAAUUUGUUGGUUUUUGUUCUACUUCUUGAGACAUUCAUAAAAGAGAGAAGAAAAAAGAAGCAGUGACACUUCUCUCUCAUCUUCAUUUCCAAAAUACUGCACACAUAGUAAAGGUGAGAGAGAGGCAAGAUGGCAAUGUUCGUUUCAGUGUGCUUCAGGUCUGGUGAAGCAUGAAGGCGGUGGUCGUUUCGAGGUGCUUCAGGUCCACCGAGAAGAAGAGGUGCAACAGUGGCUACGGUUUUCAGCAGGGGUUCACUUACCGCCACUGGUUCAGCUCGACCAGAUUUCCGAGGAGGACUUGAAUGCUUACAGCGGCAACGAUCCUCAAAGGCCUCUUCUUAUGGCCAUCAAAGGCCAGAUCUAUGAGACUAUGAUGUCUCGCAAAACAGGUUAUCUACCAUCAAUUUCGAGGGUUUGAUUUAGUAUUACUUUCAGCUCAUCG
RNAcentral lists this long non-coding RNA (824 nucleotides) under Helianthus annuus (common sunflower). RNAcentral's name for it is "hypothetical non coding rna". The record is from RNAcentral. Lineage: Eukaryota; Viridiplantae; Streptophyta; Magnoliopsida; Asterales; Asteraceae.